AACGCUGGCGGCGUGCGUAACACAUGCAAGUCGAACGAGAAUGUACUGACGGAUCCUUCGGGUGAAGAUAGUACAGGACAGUGGCGGAUGGGUGAGUAACGCGUAAGAAACCUGCCUUUCACACCGGGAUAGCAGCUGGAAACGGCUAUUAAUACCGGAUGACACUUUUUCCCCGCAUGAGGAAGAGGUUAAAGAAUUUCGGUGAAAGAUGGUCUUGCGUCUGAUUAGCUAGUUGGUGGGGUAACGGCCUACCAAGGCGACGAUCAGUAGCCGGCCUGAGAGGGUGUACGGCCACAUUGGGACUGAGACACGGCCCAAACUCCUACGGGAGGCAGCAGUGGGGAAUUUUGCACAAUGGAGGAAACUCUGAUGCAGCGACGCCGCGUGAACGAAGAAGGUCUUCGGAUUGUAAAGUUCUGUCCUGGGUGAAGAUAAUGACGGUAACUCAGGAGGAAGCCCCGGCUAACUACGUGCCAGCAGCCGCGGUAA
RNAcentral lists this ribosomal RNA (489 nucleotides) under uncultured Eubacteriales bacterium. RNAcentral's name for it is "bacterial SSU rRNA". It matches the Rfam family "Bacterial small subunit ribosomal RNA", at positions 32 to 523 of the family's 1533-position model. Lineage: Bacteria; Bacillati; Bacillota; Clostridia; Eubacteriales. The record is from RNAcentral.